Molecule: ribosomal RNA, 497 nt
Filed under: uncultured bacterium
Lineage: Bacteria
Description: partial 16S ribosomal RNA
Rfam family: Bacterial small subunit ribosomal RNA
Source: RNAcentral
GACGAACGCUGGCGGCGUGCCUAAUACAUGCAAGUUGAGCGCUGAAGGCUGGUACUUGUACCAACUGGAUGAGCAGCGAACGGGUGAGUAACGCGUGGGGAAUCUGCCUUUGAGCGGGGGACAACAUGUGGAAACGAAUGCUAAUACCGCAUAAAAACUUUAAACACAAGUUGUAAGUUUGAAAGAUGCAAUUGCAUCACUCAAAGAUGAUCCCGCGUUGUAUUAGCUAGUUGGUGAGGUAAAGGGUCACCAAGGCGAGGAUACAUAGAGGACCUGAGAGGGUGGUCGGCCACAUUGGGACUGAGACACGGCCCAUACUCCUACGGGAGGCAGCCGUAGGGAAUCUUCGGCAAUCGACGAAAGUCUGACCGAGCAACGCCGCGUGAGUGAAGAAGGUUUUCGGAUCGUAAAACUCUGUUGGUAGAGAAGAACGUUGGUGAGAGUGGAAAGCUCAUCAAGUGACGGUAACUACCCAGAAAGGGACGGCUAACUACGUG